UGAGAAGUGGAAGGAGGAGAAGGCAUUUUAACCAGAAGGGCAGGACUCACGGAGAAGUAGAAACUAUAUUUGAAGAUGAAAUUGCACUGUGAGAAGUAUUAUUGCUCUACUGUUAAUAAAUACAUAUGGGUUGAAG
Molecule: long non-coding RNA, 136 nt
Filed under: Chinchilla lanigera (long-tailed chinchilla)
Lineage: Eukaryota; Metazoa; Chordata; Mammalia; Rodentia; Chinchillidae
Description: lncRNA (ENSCLAG00000024133.1)
Source: RNAcentral